GGCAAGAUGGCCGAGCGGUCUAAGGCGCUACGUUCAGGUAUUCAGUUUCGGCUGGUUACUAGGUUUCGUAGUCUCGAAAGAGGCGCGAGUUCGAAUCUCGUUCUUGUCA
RNAcentral lists this transfer RNA (109 nucleotides) under Coniella lustricola. It matches the Rfam family "tRNA". Rfam says of the family: Transfer RNA (tRNA) molecules are approximately 80 nucleotides in length. Their secondary structure includes four short double-helical elements and three loops (D, anti-codon, and T loops). Lineage: Eukaryota; Fungi; Ascomycota; Sordariomycetes; Diaporthales; Schizoparmaceae. The record is from Rfam by way of RNAcentral.